CUCUAUGGUCAUGCCAACCUGAACACACCCGAUCUUGUCUAAUCUCGGAAGCUAAGCAGGGUCGGGCCUGGACAGUACUUGGAUGGGAGACCACCUAGGAAGACUGGGUGCUGUAGGUG
RNAcentral lists this ribosomal RNA (119 nucleotides) under Pteropus alecto (black flying fox). Lineage: Eukaryota; Metazoa; Chordata; Mammalia; Chiroptera; Pteropodidae. The record is from RNAcentral.